GAGAAGGAGGGGUCAGCUUUUCUCCGGUAGUGAGGAUCCGGCUGAUCCGUUGUAGUGCAGCAGAGGAGGCCGGAGACUGUGGGGUGGGCUAGUCGCUGAGGCUGGGGAUGCCUGAGCAGAUGUGGAAGCAGCUGGAAAGGUGGCACAGCCCUUGGGUUGCCGCCGCCGCCGAGGCUUUGGCUGUUCCUAGGAGACAGAGGAGAAGCCAGUCUGCGGGGGAGGGGAAGCGAGUGGGUUGCUGCUUUUAGCAGCUGAAAGGGUUGCAGGGAGCUCUGGGUAAGACAUUUUCUAGCACCGUCGCUUCUGCGGUAGAAGCCUGCCGCGAGUAAGUCAGAGGAAGGAGGAUUGGGAGGGAAGGAGCUCUCAGUUGCAGCCAUGCCGAAUCACGGUCGCUGAUCAGGGUCCCUCACGGGGCUGCUGGGAGAACCCAGAGAGCAGCGCCAGUUCCCGGGUGCAUGCACAGUUUGGUGGCUACUAACCCUGCCGGGCCUCCCACAAUGGAGGGCGAAAGCGUCAAGCCGAGCCCUCAGCCCACAGAGCAGGCUGGGGAUGGUGAGAAGAACCGGAGGAUGAUCACUGUCAACCCUGCCCACAUGGGG
Molecule: long non-coding RNA, 599 nt
Filed under: Rattus norvegicus (Norway rat)
Lineage: Eukaryota; Metazoa; Chordata; Mammalia; Rodentia; Muridae
Description: long non-coding RNA NONRATT012236
Source: RNAcentral